CCCUUAGAUGUCCGGGGCUGCACGCGCGCUACACUGAAGGAAUCAGCGUGCUAAAACCAUUGUCGAAAGGCAUUGGUAAACCCAUUAAAAUCCUACGUGAUUGGGAUCGGGAAUUGCAAUUAUUUCACUUGAACGAGGAAUUCCCAGUAAGUGUGGGUCAUAAGCUCGCGUUGAUUACGUCCCUGCCCUUUGUACACACCGCCCGUCGCUGCCCGGGACUGAGCCGUUUCGAGAAAAGCGGGGACUGCUGCUGUCGGGGCUUUCGGGCCUUGGCUUCGGUGGAAACCGCUUUAAUCGCAGUGGCUUGAACCGGGCAAAAGUCGUAACA
Molecule: ribosomal RNA, 328 nt
Filed under: uncultured eukaryote
Lineage: Eukaryota
Description: partial 18S ribosomal RNA
Rfam family: Eukaryotic small subunit ribosomal RNA
Source: RNAcentral